CCUACGGGGGGCUGCAGUGGGGAAUAUUGGGCAAUGGGCGCAAGCCUGACCCAGCAACGCCGCGUGAAGGAAGAAGGCUUUCGGGUUGUAAACUUCUUUUGUCAGGGAAGAGUAGAAGACGGUACCUGACGAAUAAGCCACGGCUAACUACGUGCCAGCAGCCGCGGUAAUACGUAGGUGGCAAGCGUUGUCCGGAUUUACGGGGUGUAAAGGGCGUGUAGCCGGGUUGACAAGUCAGAUGUGAAAUCCUGCGGCUUAACCGGAGCACUGCAUGUGAAACUGUUGAUCUUGAGUACUGGAGAGGCAGACGGAAUUCCUAGUGUAGCGGUGAAAUGCGUAGAUAUUAGGAGGAACACCAGUGGCGAAGGCGGUCUGCUGGACAGCAACUGACGGUGAGGCGCGAAAGCGUGGGGAGCAAACAGGAUUAGAUACCCGAGUAGUC
Molecule: ribosomal RNA, 442 nt
Filed under: uncultured bacterium
Lineage: Bacteria
Description: partial 16S ribosomal RNA
Rfam family: Bacterial small subunit ribosomal RNA
Source: RNAcentral